Molecule: non-coding RNA, 74 nt
Organism: Coemansia sp. RSA 2607
Lineage: Eukaryota; Fungi; Kickxellomycota; Kickxellomycetes; Kickxellales; Kickxellaceae
Source: the annotation of a GenBank genome assembly
GAUCUCUUGGUGUAGUUGGUUAUCACGUACGCCUCACACGCGUAAGGUCGCCAGUUCGAGCCUGGCAGAGAUCA